Molecule: ribosomal RNA, 1494 nt
Filed under: uncultured bacterium
Lineage: Bacteria
Description: partial 16S ribosomal RNA
Rfam family: Bacterial small subunit ribosomal RNA
Source: RNAcentral
AAGAGUUUGAUCCUGGCUCAGGAUGAACGCUAGCGGCAGGCUUAACACAUGCAAGUCGAGGGGUAUAGUUCUUCGGAACUAGAGACCGGCGCACGGGUGCGUAACGCGUAUGCAAUCUACCUUUCACAGAGGGAUAGCCCAGAGAAAUUUGGAUUAAUACCUCAUAGUAUAAUUGAAUGGCAUCAUUUAAUUAUUAAAGUCACAACGGUGAAAGAUGAGCAUGCGUCCCAUUAGCUUGUUGGUAAGGUAACGGCUUACCAAGGCGACGAUGGGUAGGGGUCCUGAGAGGGAGAUCCCCCACACUGGUACUGAGACACGGACCAGACUCCUACGGGAGGCAGCAGUGAGGAAUAUUGGUCAAUGGGCGCAAGCCUGAACCAGCCAUGCCGCGUGCAGGAUGACGGUCCUAUGGAUUGUAAACUGCUUUUGUACAGGAAGAAACACUGGUUCGUGAACCAGCUUGACGGUACUGUAAGAAUAAGGAUCGGCUAACUCCGUGCCAGCAGCCGCGGUAAUACGGAGGAUCCAAGCGUUAUCCGGAAUCAUUGGGUUUAAAGGGUCCGUAGGCGGUCAGAUAAGUCAGUGGUGAAAGCCCAUCGCUCAACGGUGGAACGGCCAUUGAUACUGUCUGACUUGAAUUAUUAGGAAGUAACUAGAAUAUGUAGUGUAGCGGUGAAAUGCUUAGAGAUUACAUGGAAUACCAAUUGCGAAGGCAGGUUACUACUAAUGGAUUGACGCUGAUGGACGAAAGCGUGGGUAGCGAACAGGAUUAGAUACCCUGGUAGUCCACGCCGUAAACGAUGUCAACUAGCCGUUGGGCUCCUUGAGGGUCUAGUGGCGCAGCUAACGCGAUAAGUUGACCGCCUGGGGAGUACGGCCGCAAGGUUAAAACUCAAAUGAAUUGACGGGGGCCCGCACAAGCGGUGGAGCAUGUGGUUUAGUUCGAUGCAACGCGAAGAACCUUACCAGGCCUUGACAUCCUGCGAACUUUCUAGAGAUAGAUUGGUGCCUUCGGGAGCGCAGUGACAGGUGCUGCAUGGCUGUCGUCAGCUCGUGUCGUGAGAUGUUGGGUUAAGUCCCGUAACGAGCGCAACCCUUGUCCUUAGUUGCCAGCGCGUAAUGGCGGGAACUCUAAGGAGACUGCCGGUGACAAACCGGAGGAAGGUGGGGAUGACGUCAAGUCCUCAUGGCCCUUAUAGGGGGGGCUACACACGUCAUACAAUGGCUGGUACAAAAGGGUGGCAACCCGCGAGGGGGAGCUAAUCCCAUAAAGCCAGUCGUAGUCCGGAUCGUAGUCUGCAACUCGACUACGUGAAGUCGGAAUCGCUAGUAAUCGUGGAUCAGAAUGUCACGGUGAAUACGUUCCCGGGUCUUGUACACACCGCCCGUCACACCAUGGGAGCGGGUUCUGCCAGAAGUAGUUAGCCUAACCGCAAGGAGGGCGAUUACCACGGCAGGGUUCGUGACUGGGGUGAAGUCGUAACAAGGUAACCC